This is a non-coding RNA of Mycena epipterygia, 94 nucleotides long. Lineage: Eukaryota; Fungi; Basidiomycota; Agaricomycetes; Agaricales; Mycenaceae. The record is from the annotation of a GenBank genome assembly.
GCCUUCGUGGACCAUGGUGGUCGCCUCGAUUCCAUGUGGCUUUUCUCCACUGCGAUUUAACGAGGGGAAGGAGGUUCAAUUCCUCCCGAAGGCA